UAGGUCGGAGUCGGAGACCCCGCAGGAAUGGAUCUCCCCCACUUCAUGACUUCCGGAAUGGGAGGAAUCAGGUCUGCUGGUGACCUCGUCGCCAGGAUGC
RNAcentral lists this non-coding RNA (100 nucleotides) under bovine gut metagenome. RNAcentral describes it as "Pyrrolysine insertion sequence mtbB". It matches the Rfam family "Pyrrolysine insertion sequence mtbB". The record is from RNAcentral.